RNAcentral lists this ribosomal RNA (512 nucleotides) under uncultured bacterium. RNAcentral's name for it is "bacterial SSU rRNA". It matches the Rfam family "Bacterial small subunit ribosomal RNA", at positions 26 to 518 of the family's 1533-position model. The record is from RNAcentral.
GAUCAGUGGCGUCGAGGACGAACGCUGGCGGCGUGCUUAACACAUGCAAGUCGAACGAGGAUUAUGUUGGAAGGGGCUUCGGCCUGGAAGGCGUAAUUCGAGUGGCGGACGGGUGAGUAACGCGUGAACAAUCUGUCCCGGACAGGGGAAUAACACUUGGAAACAGGUGCUAAUACCGCAUAAGACCACGCCCUCGCAUGGGGGAGGGGUAAAAGGAGGAAUCCGGUUCGGGGUGAGUUCGCGUCCGAUUAGAUAGUUGGUGAGGUAACGGCCCACCAAGUCGACGAUCGGUAGCCGACCUGAGAGGGUGAUCGGCCACAUUGGAACUGAGAGACGGUCCAAACUCCUACGGGAGGCAGCAGUGGGGAAUAUUGGGCAAUGGGCGAAAGCCCUGACCCAGCAACGCCGCGUGAGUGAAGAAGGCUUUCGGGUUGUAAAGCUCUGUUAUAGGGGACGAAGGAAGUGACGGUACCCUAUAAGGAAGCCCCGGCUAACUACGUGCCAGCCGCUGC